UGGCGCCCAACAUGGGACACGAGAAUGUGGGACUCCAUGAGGGGCGUUGUUUGUGGACCCAAAGUAGAAAAAAGAAAAGGAAAUAGAGGACUUGGCAAUGUGGGAGCCUGCCAUGCCACACUGAACCUCAGUAAGUGAACAGCAAUUAUGAGAUAAGAAAUUAACCAGCAUGAGAUUUUUGUUGAAAGUUUAAGAAAAGCUUUAAAGACGUGAGGAAUAAAGGAAAACAUUAAGCAAUUGUGCCCAUUAGGGCUUAAUAAAUUUUAUCUC
Regulatory RNA element from Cavia porcellus (domestic guinea pig), 270 nucleotides. It matches the Rfam family "Mason-Pfizer monkey virus packaging signal". Rfam says of the family: The packaging signal is located in the 5' UTR and is required for specific RNA encapsidation. Lineage: Eukaryota; Metazoa; Chordata; Mammalia; Rodentia; Caviidae. The record is from Rfam.